RNAcentral lists this ribosomal RNA (590 nucleotides) under uncultured bacterium. RNAcentral's name for it is "bacterial SSU rRNA". It matches the Rfam family "Bacterial small subunit ribosomal RNA", at positions 150 to 755 of the family's 1533-position model. The record is from RNAcentral.
UUGCCAAUGACGUCUAAUACUUGACACGAGCUCAGGCGGGAUUGGUCGUUAGACGGAAAGAAUUUCGGACAAGGAGGGACUAGCGGCCUAUGAGCUAGUUAGUGACGUAAAGUCCCGCCAAGGCGAGGACGGGUAGCAGUCCCGAGAGGGUGGCCGGGCACAUUGGGAGUGAGACUUGGGCCAGAAUCGUCAGGGUGGCAUCAUUGGGGAAUAAAGCAGAAUGGGAGCAAGCGGGAGGCAGCCAUGCCGCGGGAGUGAUGCCUGCGGCCUGCGUGUAAACUUCAAUAAUCAGCGAAGAAGCCAACGGGAGGGUUCUUGCAGAAAAAGCACUGGCAAAGUGGGCGGUAGCCGCUGAGGCAGGCGUCGGGUGCUAGCGUUGUCGGACAUUACCUGCGCAAAGAGCUGGUAGGCGGUGAGUCGAUUCUUGUGCGAAAAUCUUUGGAUCAAACUAGCACGUGGUGUGAGUUCGGGUAAAGUAGAGUGCGGUGGUGGCGAUGGGAAUUCCAGGGGUAAGGGCAGGAUGCGCAGAUGUUAGUCGGCACUUCAACGGUGAAGCCGGAUGUGCAAGCUGCCGCCUUCGUUGAUGAGCG